AUUUUCUUAAGCCAGCGGGGUUGCAGGUGUGCCUUCGGGAAGUGUAAGACAGGUGUUGCAUGGCUGUCGUCAGCUCGUGUUGUGAAAUGCUGGGCUAAGUCCCGCAACGAGCGCAACCCUUAUCCUUGUUUGCCAGCACUUCGGGUGGGAACUCCAGGGAGACUGCCGGUGAUAAACCGGAGGAAGGUGGGGACGACGUCAAGUCAUCAUGGCCCUUACGAGUAGGGCUACACACGUGCUACAAUGGCGCAUACAGAGGGCGGCCAACUUGCGAAAGUGAGCGAAUCCCAAAAAGUGCGUCGUAGUCCGGAUUGGAGUCUGCAACUCGACUCCAUGAAGUCGGAAUCGCUAGUAAUCGUGGAUCAGAAUGCCACGGUGAAUACGUUCCCGGGCCUUGUACACACCGCCCGUCACACCAUGGGAGUGGGCUGCAAAAGAAGUGGGUAGUUUAACCUUCGGGAGGACGCUCACCACUUUGUGGUUCAUGACUGGGGUGAAGUCGUAACAAGGUAACCG
Molecule: ribosomal RNA, 516 nt
Filed under: uncultured bacterium
Lineage: Bacteria
Description: bacterial SSU rRNA
Rfam family: Bacterial small subunit ribosomal RNA
Source: RNAcentral